GCGACGCCGCGUGAGGGAUGACGGCCUUCGGGUUGUAAACCUCUUUCAGCAGGGACGAAGCGUGAGUGACGGUACCUGCAGAAGAAGCACCGGCCAACUACGUGCCAGCAGCCGCGGUAAUACGUAGGGUGCAAGCGUUGUCCGGAAUUACUGGGCGUAAAGAGCUCGUAGGCGGUUUGUCGCGUCGUCUGUGAAAACCAGCAGCUCAACUGUUGGCUUGCAGGCGAUACGGGCAGACUUGAGUAUUUCAGGGGAGACUGGAAUUCCUGGUGUAGCGGUGAAAUGCGCAGAUAUCAGGAGGAACACCGGUGGCGAAGGCGGGUCUCUGGGAAAUAACUGACGCUGAGGAGCGAAAGCGUGGGUAGCGAACAGGAUUAGAUACCCUGGUAGUCCACGCCGUAAACGGUGGGCGCUAGGUGUGGGUUUCCUUCCACGGGAUCCGUGCCGUAGCUAACGCAUUAAGCGC
RNAcentral lists this ribosomal RNA (466 nucleotides) under Rhodococcus sp. (in: high G+C Gram-positive bacteria). Its description in RNAcentral is "bacterial SSU rRNA". It matches the Rfam family "Bacterial small subunit ribosomal RNA", at positions 391 to 867 of the family's 1533-position model. Lineage: Bacteria; Bacillati; Actinomycetota; Actinomycetes; Mycobacteriales; Nocardiaceae. The record is from RNAcentral.